RNAcentral lists this ribosomal RNA (274 nucleotides) under uncultured bacterium. RNAcentral's name for it is "partial 16S ribosomal RNA". It matches the Rfam family "Bacterial small subunit ribosomal RNA", at positions 523 to 796 of the family's 1533-position model. The record is from RNAcentral.
AUACGGAGGGUGCAAGCGUUACUCGGAAUUACUGGGCGUAAAGGACGCGUAGGCGGUUUAGAAAGUCAGAUGUGAAAGCCUAUGGCUUAACCAUAGAACUGCAUCUGAAACUCCUAGACUAGAGUGAGGGAGAGGUCAGUGGAAUUAGUGGUGUAGGGGUAAAAUCCGUAGAGAUCACUAGGAAUACUCAUAGCGAAGGCGACUGACUGGAACUUUACUGACGCUGAGGCGUGAAAGCGUGGGGAGCAAACAGGAUUAGAUACCCUAGUAGUCC